GAUGAAUCCAGCCCAGCCAUAGGACUUGGGGAGUAGAAUUAGGGCAUCUCUACCAUGGCCUGGACUCCUCUCCUUCUUGGCCUCCUUGCUCACUGCACAGGUUCUGUGGCCUCCUAUGUGCUGACUCAGCCCCCAUCUGUGUCAUUGGCUCUGGGACAGACAGCCCAGGUCACCUGUGGGGGAAACAACAUUGGAAAUAAAUAUGUUUCCUGGUACCAGCAGAGGCCAG
Lutra lutra (Eurasian river otter) is the source of this 229-nucleotide long non-coding RNA. RefSeq lists it as uncharacterized. The transcript is spliced from 3 exons. The record is from RefSeq and is a predicted model, not a curated record. Lineage: Eukaryota; Metazoa; Chordata; Mammalia; Carnivora; Mustelidae.